UGAGGCGUAUGACCUGACGUCAGUUCCUGCCAUCCUGCUACCAGCUGCAGCCUCGCUCAAUGGAAGAAACCCUUUCUCUACAGAAGGCUACAAGAACAGACCAAGAGUAAAUAACAGAACCUGCAGUCUUUUCACAAUAGGAGCUAAUCAGAAAUGCCUACCUGCUACCUGCAAUGUCCGACUGUCGAUAGCCCACUCAUCUCAAACACACGCAGGUGAUGCUCGUUCAAUGUCCGACUGUCGAUAGCCCAC
Oncorhynchus nerka (sockeye salmon) is the source of this 252-nucleotide long non-coding RNA. RefSeq lists it as uncharacterized. The transcript is spliced from 3 exons. The record is from RefSeq and is a predicted model, not a curated record. Lineage: Eukaryota; Metazoa; Chordata; Actinopteri; Salmoniformes; Salmonidae.